GGUUUUCACCAUAUUGGUCAGGCUGGUCUUGAACUCCUGACCUGAGGCAAUCCAUCUGCCUCAGCCUCCCAAAGUGCUGGGAUUACAGGUGUGAGCCACCAUGCCCGGCCUAUUUUUUGUAUUUUUAGUAGAGGUUUCACCAUGUUGGCCAGGCUGGUCUCGAACUCCUGCCUCAGGUGAUCCACCCACCUCAGCCUCCCAAAAUGAUGGCAUUAUAGGCGUGAGCCACCACGCCCCGCCUGGUCUUCUGAUUUCAAAGCCUGCAUGUCCUUCCUCAAUGCCGUGCUGGGUUUUCAGAAAGCCAAGUGCCAGGCCAGGGCUUGCAGAGGGGCUGAAAUGAAGCCAGUCCAGAAGACAGAGCAGCCAGGACUCUCACUGAACAGAGCAGCCAGGACCUGGGCAGCAGCACUAUUGGGAUUUGAGGACUCUCCAGCCCGUUUGGAAGAGCCUAGGCUCUCUCUGCCCGGUUGCAUAGGUUCUCGUACUCAUGAUUGGGGGGUGCAAUGGGGAAGCUGGGCAUGGGAGAGGAUGACUCAUGCCCUGAAAGUCCAUGAGAGGCCUCCUCUCCCCACAUCUGCAGAAACCAGCCUGGACACCAAGUCUGUGUCAGAAGGCCACCUCAAGAGGAACAUCGUGGUGAAGACAGUGGAGAUGCGGGAUGGAGAGGGUACCCACCCAGAGACAUCUGGUAUCAUUUAACAAACACAUUGAAGGACAACUGGUCUUCAGAGCUGAAGAGAUAUCCUAGGGGGAGAAGUUAGGACAACAGUGAAAUAAGUAGCAGCAGCAACGACAGAGGUGAAUGGUGACAAAGACUGCCGUGAUGAGCAGGUAGCCUAUCAGGGUGAGCUCCACAGCAGAGCGAGUCUCAGGAUCCGAGAACGAGGCUGGGUAGCGCCCACGAGAUGUCACACCCAGCCGGAAACCAGCAACUCGCACACCCUGCCUCCAGCAAUAGUAGAUGCCCCGGUCAUCCAGCUGGGUGAAGCGGAUGUGGAGCUGGUUGCCGUGGUCAAUGAACACCCUCAUGGACCUGUUGACACCCUUCAGGUACUGUGUGCGGUAGAGGUGCUGGCGGUCUUUGUCCCAGGCCACUGCAUGCUCUGGCCGGGCCCCAGGACAGGAGAUGAUGAGGCCAUGGCCCAGUCUCUGCUGGUGGAACUGAAUGGGCACCUGGGGCACCCAGGGCCGGCUGCCCACUUUGGACACAUAGUUAACGAUGGCCAGCACGCCCUCCCGGAUGGUCUUCGUCUUCUCACAGGGUACUAAGCAGCUCCGAACCAGCACCUCAGGCGUGUGGUCCCUGGCCUUGGUCCACAGCUUCCUUGGCACAGCCCUUGAGCCACAAGACACCACAUCGGGCACCGCCUUGAGGUAGCGUGGGGAGAGGUCUGGGCUCUGCAGGUAGCAGAGGCCAAUGCGCCACUGCUCCCCACGUACCCCGCAGCGGUCACAGGGGGUCCAUUCCCAGAAGGUGGUGAAGACAUGGAGGUGCCCAUAGUAUUCAUCUGCGAAGGGCUCCUGGCCCUCGUCCUGGAAAGUGGCCACCAUUCCCUCACUGUUCUGGAUGUCCACAUCGUAGGCGUAAAAGUAGUCCCCCUUGCGGGUGCCGCAGAAGUACAGGCCUGAGUCCUCAGGCUGAGCCCUGAAAACCAACAGGCUGAACAUGCGGAUGCUGAAGCGGGUCAGCAUGUCGCUGCCCACACGUACCUGGGCUGCCUCUGUCAGCACCCGCCCAUCAAAGUCCGUCAGCACUUUGGUGUGGCUGCUACCUAGGUGCUUUUGGUAGAACCAGACUACAGCUGUCAUCUUUUCGGGUUUGCAGUGACAGGGAAGCUCAAAGCUCAUGUCGGCCAGGUAGGCCGCAUUUUCAAACAUCAGGAAAGCAGGGCAGGGGGUCUUCUGAAAAAUGUUUUCUUUCUCCACAAUUUCGAAGGCCUGGAGACUCCCCCAUGCCCACAGGAGCACAGUGGUGGGGGCCAGGUGCAUGCCUGAAGGAGGCAGGGGUCAGAGGAGCAGGGCAAAACCAAGGCAUUAAAGGCUCAUGGGGCUCCUAGAAAGCACUGCUGAGCGGAGGCCUCUGGAUGAGGAAAGGAUUAUGCAGCUAGGAAAAGCAGCAACAAUCUGCAGAGGAAGCCGCCAAGUGCAAGGCAAUGUAUUCCCGGUGGAUGCCCUUCUAACAUUCCAGACCUGAUCUCGAGGGGAAAGCCAUUCUAGAACCUGGCCUUCACUCCCCUUUCUAGAACACUGGCACUCACCCAAGAAUGGGUCAAAGGAAACCGGAAUGAGAAGGGCGGGCCGAGGUGCUCGGGCAGGGAGAUCUCUGCCUCAGUGCUCCAGGCCCUGUCCUGCCGGCCUGGUGGAAAAGUCUUUCAUCAACCUGGGGGAUGAAGGAAACCCACCCUCCUGUAUAUCUGGCCAUUUGGGAGGCUGGCUGGACCUGAGCUGAUGGCUUGGGGCUUUCCCAGGCCCAACCUGCACAAGAACUGAGUCUCCAGGGGAAAAUUCAACACCUCAAAUGAGGUAGUAUUUGAUCAUUUGUUGAUUACACGUCCAUUCAUUGGUUU
Molecule: small RNA, 2567 nt
Filed under: Pongo abelii (Sumatran orangutan)
Lineage: Eukaryota; Metazoa; Chordata; Mammalia; Primates; Hominidae
Description: retained intron
Source: RNAcentral